AAGUAAAGAAGUAAAAAUACAUUUAAUUUCGACUUAAAAUUAAGGGCAUUAGGCCUCAUACUUA
RNAcentral lists this transfer RNA (64 nucleotides) under Metcalfa pruinosa. RNAcentral describes it as "tRNA-Arg". The record is from RNAcentral. Lineage: Eukaryota; Metazoa; Arthropoda; Insecta; Hemiptera; Flatidae.